GACGAACGCUGGCGGCGUGCUUAACACAUGCCAGUCGAACGGAAAGGCCCUGCUUUUGUUGGGUGCUCGAGUGGCGAACGGGUGAGUAACACGUGAGUAACCUGCCCUUGACUUUGGGAUAACUUCAGGAAACUGGGGCUAAUACCGGAUAGGCGCUCCUGCUGCAUGGUGGGGGUUGGAAAGUUUCGGCGGUUGGGGAUGGACUCGCGGCUUAUCAGCUUGUUGGUGGGGUAGUGGCUUACCAAGGCUUUGACGGGUAGCCGGCCUGAGAGGGUGACCGGCCACAUUGGGACUGAGAUACGGCCCAGACUCCUACGGGAGGCAGCAGUGGGGAAUAUUGCACAAUGGGCGGAAGCCUGAUGCAGCAACGCCGCGUGCGGGAUGACGGCCUUCGGGUUGUAAACCGCUUUCGCCUGUGACGAAGCGUGAGUGACGGUAAUGGGUAAAGAAGCACCGGCUAACAACGUG
This 468-nucleotide ribosomal RNA is filed under the name uncultured bacterium. RNAcentral's name for it is "partial 16S ribosomal RNA". It matches the Rfam family "Bacterial small subunit ribosomal RNA", at positions 28 to 507 of the family's 1533-position model. The record is from RNAcentral.